Small nuclear RNA from Nannospalax galili (Upper Galilee mountains blind mole rat), 104 nucleotides. The record is from Ensembl. Lineage: Eukaryota; Metazoa; Chordata; Mammalia; Rodentia; Spalacidae.
GUGCUUGGUAUGGCAUCACAUAUACUAAAACUGCAACAGUACAAAGAUUAGCACAGCCUCUGCACAAGGACAAUCUGCAAAUGUGUGAAGCACUCCAUAUUUUU